This 365-nucleotide unclassified non-coding RNA is filed under the name Hevea brasiliensis (rubber tree). The record is from RNAcentral. Lineage: Eukaryota; Viridiplantae; Streptophyta; Magnoliopsida; Malpighiales; Euphorbiaceae.
CUUUAUCAUAAGAAAUCAAGAAACAUCCCUUCUAAUAAAAACUCACGCUUUAUUUGUAUACAUACAGGUGCGAAUUCCACAGAGUUAUUUUGGGAAUUUCUUGAGGACUGGCCAUCAAGAAAUCGAGACUUUAUUUAAAUAAAAAAAAAAACAUUUAUCAUUUGAUUAAACCGACAAAGAAACACAUUUACCAUCAAACUAGAUCCGAAAAUGCCACAUGAACAAUUGAUGAGAAGAAAGAAACAGUUACGACAGCCCAGGCUACACAGCAUUAAUGCCUUGAGCAAACAGUGACUUAAAAACCUCCAUUUCCUGUCUUGGUAAGGCUAACGCAAUCUCAACUUCUCCCUUUCCAUCUCUACCUU